RNAcentral lists this ribosomal RNA (3015 nucleotides) under SAR202 cluster bacterium. RNAcentral describes it as "23S ribosomal RNA". It matches the Rfam family "Bacterial large subunit ribosomal RNA". The record is from RNAcentral. Lineage: Bacteria; Bacillati; Chloroflexota; Dehalococcoidia.
AGGUUAAGUUAAUCAGGGCCUGUGGUGGAUGCCUUGGUGCCAAGGGCCGAUGAAGGGCGUAGAAAGACUGCGAUAAGCCUCGGUUAGCUGUCUAUCAAGCGUAACCGUGGAUUCCCGAAUGGGGAAACCCAUCCUGGCAAAACCAGGAUAGCUCUAACCUAACCCUUAAGUUAGAGCGGGUAAGCGAGAGAACUGAAACAUCUCAGUACCUCGAGGAAAAUACAUCAACCGAGAUUCCCUUAGUAGUGGCGAACGAACGGGGAUCAGCCUAAACCGAUUGAACUUAGUGGACGGGGGUCCUAUGUUCAAUCGGUGUUGUAAGACAUGUCUGAACGAGCCCCUGCGAGUUCAGAGAGUAAGAAACCAAUUUCCUAGCCGAACACUCUGGAAAGAGUGACCAUAGCAGGUGAUAGUCCUUUAGGCGAAAGGGCGUUGGCUCUCGACAUUGUUCUUAAGUACCGCGGGACACGAGGAAUCCCGUGGGAAUCUGGGGGGACCACCCUCCAAGGCUAAAUACCCUUGGCGACCGAUAGCGUACCAGUACCGUGAGGGAAAGGUGAAAAGAACCCCGAGAGGGGAGUGAAAUAGAUCUGAAACCGCAGGCCUACAUACGGUCGAAGCCCCAAUUUAUUGGGGUGACGGCGUGCUUAUUGAAGAAUGAGCCGACGAGUUAAUUUCCGCGGCAAGGUUAACUUCUUGGAAGAAGGGAGCCGAAGCGAAAGCAAGUCUUAAUAGGGCGAUUGAGUCGCGGGGAUUAGACCCGAAACCGGGUGAGCUACCCAUGGCCAGGGUGAAGCUCCGAUAAUCUCGGAGUGAAGGCCCGAACUCGUGGACGUUGCAAAGUCCUGGGAUGAGCUGUGGGUAGAGGUGAAAUGCCAAUCGAACUCGGAGAUAGCUGGUUCUCCCCGAAAUGCAUUGAGGUGCAGCGUUAAGGAUGAAUAUUGGAGGUAGGGCUCUGGAUGGGCUAGGGGGCGUGAGCUUACCAAACCCAACCAAACCACCAAUGCCAAUAUAUCUUACCUUGGCAGUGAGACAGUGGGGGAUAAGCUUCAUUGUCAAAAGGGAAACAGCCCAGACCACCGGCUAAGGCCCCAAAGUGUUAACUAAGUGGGAAAGGAAGUGAGGUCGCCCAGACAACCAGGAGGUUGGCUCAGAAGCAGCCAUCCUUUAAAGAGUGCGUAAUAGCUCACUGGUCGAGGGAUCCUGCGCCGAAAAUCCAACGGGGCUCAAGUUAACCGCCGAAGCCGUGGCUUCAGUUGCGUUCGCGCAUACUGAGGGGUAGGGGAGCGUUCCUCAGGCACUGAAGGUGAAUCGUGAGAUUUGCUGGAGCGUGAGGAAGUGAGAAUGUCGGCAUGAGUAGCGUAAACCAGUGUGAGAAUCACUGGCACCGAAAGUCUAAGGUUUCCUACGCAACGUUGUUCGGCGUAGGGUUAGUCGGUCCUAAGCCGUAGCCUAAAGGCGAAGGCGAUGGACAACGGGUCAAUAUUCCCGUACCACCUUUAUCUCGCUUUAAAGCAAAGGGGGGACGCGGAAAGGUAGGCGAAGCGCACCCAUUGGACAUGGUGCGUCUGCCUCUGAAGGCCAUGCCGGGAUAGGCAAAUCCGUUCCGGCGUUACGAGCUGAGGGAGGUGGAAACUUUGAGGUUUCCUCAGGGAAUUUCGUUGAACCUAUACCGCCUAGAAAAUCCUCGUUGUUAUGGGAUAGGGGUGACCGUACCGCAAACCGACACUGGUAGACAGGGAGGAAACUCCCAAGGUGUUCGAGAGAACCAUCCUUAAGGAACUCGGCAAUUUAACCCCGUAACUUAGGAAAAAGGGGUGCCCCGGAGGUGAAUGGACUUGCUCCUGGAGCUUCUUGGGGUCGCAGUUAAUUAGGCCAAGCGACUGUUUAACAAAAACACAGGUCUGUGCUAAGGGGAAACCCUAUGUAUACGGGCUGACGCCUGCCCAGUGCUGGAAGGUUAAGGAGAGGGGUGAAUCCCGAUUUAUCGGGAGGCAGCUCUGAACUGAAGCCCCAGUGAACGGCGGCCGUAACUAUAACGGUCCUAAGGUACCGAAGUCCCUUGUCGGGUAAAUUCCGACCCGCAGGAAAGGCGUAACGACUUGGUCGCUGUCUCAAGGAUGGACUCGGUGAAAUUGCAAGGCCCGUGAAGAUGCGGGUAACCCGCGACAGGACAAAAAGACCCCGUGGAGCUUUACUGCAUCCUGACAUUGGAAUGGGGUCAGAGUUGUGUAGGAUAGGUGGGAGGCUAUGAAGUUUCGACGCCAGUCGGGACGGAGCCGUUGUUGAAAUACCACUCUUCUCUGUCUUUGUUUCUAACCCUGGAUAGGCCAGGGGACCGUGUCUGGUGGGCAGUUUGACUGGGGCGGUCGCCUCAUAAAAGGUAACUGAGGCGCCCAAAGGUUCCCUCAAGGUGGAUUGGAAAUCACCUGUAGAGUGUAUUGGCAUAAGGGAGCUUGACUGUGAGACAAACAAGUCGAGCAGGGACGAAAGUCGGGCAAAGUGAUCCUACGGUUCCGUGUGGAAGGGCCGUGGCUUAUCGGAUAAAAGCUACCCCGGGGAUAACAGACUAAUCUCGCCCAAGAGUUCAUAUCGACGGCGAGGUUUGGCACCUCGAUGUCGGCUCGUCGCAUCCUGGGGCUGAAGAAGGUCCCAAGGGUCCGUCUGUUCGCCGGUUAAAGCGGCACGCGAGCUGGGUUCAGAACGUCGUGAGACAGUUCGGUCUCUAUCCGUCGUGGGCGCAGGAGAUUUGAGGGGAGCUCUCCCUAGUACGAGAGGACCGGGAGGGACAGACCUCUGGUGUGCCGGUUGUUCUGCCAAGGGCAACGCCGGGUAGCCACGUCUGGAGUGGAUAAGCGCUGAAAGCAUAUAAGUGCGAAGCCCUGCCCAAGACUAGAUCUCCCAUCUCCGUUAGGAGAGUAAGAGCACAGGUAGACUACCUGUUUGAUAGGCCGCAUGUGGAAGUCCCGUGAGGGAUGCAGCUAAGCGGUACUAAUAGCUCGAGGACUUGACCUG